AAAGGGUGAGUAAUGGAUAGGUAACGUACCCUGUGCUCUGGGGUACCCAUCCGAAAGGAUGGGUAAGUACCGGAUAAUAUCACAGGCCAUAGACCUGUGAUCAAAGAUUUAUCGGAGCGGGAGCGGCCUAUUUCCUAUCAGCCUGUUGGUGAGGUAAUGGCUCACCAAGGCUAAGACGGGUAGCGGGACUGAGAGGUUGGCCCGCCACAUCGGGACUGAGACACUGCCCGGACCCCCACGGGGGGCUGCAGUAACGAAUCUUGCGCAAUGGGCGAAAGCCUGACGCAGCGACGCCGCGUGUAGGAGGAAGUCCUUCGGGAUGUAAACUACUGUCAGGGAUAAGAAAGUGCGCUUCGGCGUAUUGAUCUAACCCAGAGGAAGUCACGGCUAACUUCGUGCCAGCAGCCGCGGUAAGACGAAGGUGGCUAGCGUUGUUCGGUAUCACUGGGCUUAAAGCGUGUGUAGGCGGAAUGGUAAGCGUCUUGUGAAAUCCCUCGGCUUAACCGAGGAAUUGCUGGGCGAACUGCUUUUCUUGAGGCAGGUAGGGGUGCAUGGAACUCUUGGUGGAGCGGUGGAAUGCGUAGAUAUCAAGAGGAACGCCAGUGGAGAAGUCGGUGCACUGGGCCUGUCCGACGCUGAGACACGAAAGCGUGGGUAGCGAACGGGAUUAGAUACCCCGGUAGUCCACGCCGUAAACGAUGUCUACUAGGUUGCGAGAGUUCUGACGCUUGCGCGACCG
Molecule: ribosomal RNA, 739 nt
Filed under: uncultured bacterium
Lineage: Bacteria
Description: bacterial SSU rRNA
Rfam family: Bacterial small subunit ribosomal RNA
Source: RNAcentral